GGCGACGUAGCCAAGCGGUAAGGCAAGGGUCUGCAAAACCCCGAUCACCGGUUCGAAUCCGGUCGUCGCCUCCA
Molecule: transfer RNA, 74 nt
Filed under: Chloroflexota bacterium
Lineage: Bacteria; Bacillati; Chloroflexota
Also listed under: 2 other names
Description: tRNA-Cys
Rfam family: tRNA
About the family: Transfer RNA (tRNA) molecules are approximately 80 nucleotides in length. Their secondary structure includes four short double-helical elements and three loops (D, anti-codon, and T loops).
Source: RNAcentral